Desmophyllum pertusum is the source of this 73-nucleotide non-coding RNA. NCBI's taxonomy places the organism in Eukaryota, Metazoa, Cnidaria, Anthozoa, Scleractinia, Caryophylliidae. The record is from the annotation of a GenBank genome assembly.
GAUGCUGUGGCCUAAUGGUUAGCAUGUUGGACUCUGGAUCAAGUGGUCUGGGUUCGAGCCCUGACCUGUGUCA